Molecule: ribosomal RNA, 274 nt
Filed under: uncultured bacterium
Lineage: Bacteria
Description: partial 16S ribosomal RNA
Rfam family: Bacterial small subunit ribosomal RNA
Source: RNAcentral
AUACGGAGGGUGCAAACGUUAAUCGGAAUUACUGGGCGUAAAGCGCGCGUAGGUGGUUUAGUAAGUCGGAUGUGAAAGCCCUGGGCUCAACCUGGGAAUUGCAUUCGAUACUGCUUGACUAGAGUAUGGUAGAGGGAAGUGGAAUUUCCGGUGUAGCGGUGAAAUGCGUAGAUAUCGGAAGGAACACCAGUGGCGAAGGCGACUUUCUGGGCCAAUACUGACGCUGAGGUGCGAAAGCGUGGGGAGCAAACAGGAUUAGAAACCCCGGUAGUCC